GACAGGCAAUAUAUUAGCAUAAAGACUCGUCUUUAGCGCUAAUUGUUAAAUAUGCUAGUCCUUUCAUGAUUAUGUGAUAGGUGGUGCAUGGCCGUUCUUAGUUCGUGGAGUGAUCUGUCUGCUUAAUUGCGUUUCACUAAGGGCCCAUAAAUUCAAGGUAUGUUAGCAAAUGCUGCUCUAUUGACCCCUAAUAGGCUUAACUGUCUUUAGCGCGUGUCUCUACGAGUUCUUUAAAGCACUGCGCAUGCUGUUGGGUCCUGAAAGCAACGAACGUGACCGCAACGUCUUGUUGCCUCUCUAUAAUAUCUUCUUAUUUUUAAUAAGAGUAUUUACCUGAGGCUAUUUUAAAACUAGACGGACCGCUGUUUCUUUCUUAAACCAGAGGAAGGUUGCGGCAAUAACAGGUCUGUGAUGCCCUUAGAUGUUCCG
This 429-nucleotide ribosomal RNA is filed under the name Globorotalia inflata. Its description in RNAcentral is "bacterial SSU rRNA". It matches the Rfam family "Eukaryotic small subunit ribosomal RNA", at positions 1242 to 1484 of the family's 1831-position model. Lineage: Eukaryota; Foraminifera; Rotaliida; Globorotaliidae. The record is from RNAcentral.